UGAACUAUGCCUGGUCAGGUCGAAGUC
This 27-nucleotide non-coding RNA is filed under the name Bombyx mori (domestic silkworm). Lineage: Eukaryota; Metazoa; Arthropoda; Insecta; Lepidoptera; Bombycidae. The record is from RNAcentral.